GGUCAUGAGUGCCAGCGACAAGCCCCGGCUAGCUGGUCGGCAACCCUCCUCCACGGUGGGGUGCUCCGGGUGACGACCUGGCCGCGCUCGAACCCGAGCGAGGCAAGUGUGGAUU
This 115-nucleotide non-coding RNA is filed under the name Gordonia paraffinivorans. RNAcentral describes it as "SAM-IV sequence". It matches the Rfam family "SAM (S-adenosyl methionine) riboswitch aptamer". From Rfam's summary of the family: SAM-IV is a mRNA element that regulates gene expression via direct sensing of S-adenosylmethionine (SAM or AdoMet). SAM-IV riboswitches share conserved nucleotide positions with the previously described SAM-I riboswitches sequence analysis and molecular recognition experiments suggest that SAM-I and SAM-IV riboswitches share similar ligand binding sites, but have different scaffolds. Lineage: Bacteria; Bacillati; Actinomycetota; Actinomycetes; Mycobacteriales; Gordoniaceae. The record is from RNAcentral.